GCGUCGUUAGCUCAGCUGGAUAGAGUACCUGGCUACGAACCAGUAGGUCGGGGGUUCGAAUCCCUCACGACGUGCCA
This 77-nucleotide transfer RNA is filed under the name Eubacteriales bacterium OttesenSCG-928-G02. RNAcentral describes it as "tRNA-Arg". It matches the Rfam family "tRNA". From Rfam's summary of the family: Transfer RNA (tRNA) molecules are approximately 80 nucleotides in length. Their secondary structure includes four short double-helical elements and three loops (D, anti-codon, and T loops). Lineage: Bacteria; Bacillati; Bacillota; Clostridia; Eubacteriales. The record is from RNAcentral.